UGUAUUAAAUUUCUGUACGGUUACUGUUCAUAUGACAAAAGGCACACAUAUUUUGAUGCCAUAAUCGGACAUAGACCCUUCCAUAUAUCAACAAGUAUCCGACAUGGACAAACUCUCAUUUGUAAUGCAAAUCUACAUUCUUAUUGUGUAUCCGUAUCACCUAUUUUCAGUUUGCAGCCCUGGGUUGUUUGGUGAAACCUGCAGUAGAAUUUUGUCCACUGCGCUGAAGGAGGCGUGUGACCAUAUGUAAGUGGUUUGUGUCAAGAGACUGUAGACCAGGGUGGCAGGGCAACAGGUGUGAUACAGAAUGUGACGCUAACCACUAUGUAGUCAACUGUGUGAACACGUGUACUGACAGGAAGUGUUCUGAUGUCAUCUCGUCAUGUGAUCGCUACACCGGGUCAUGCGACAGGGGAUGUCUUACUGGUUGGAGAGGUGUGGAUUGUUCACAAGAGUGUACAAAUGGACGCUAUGGACAGAACUGCAUCGACUCUUGUUCUGACAGGAAGUGUGCAGGAGACUC
Molecule: long non-coding RNA, 523 nt
Organism: Haliotis rubra (blacklip abalone)
Lineage: Eukaryota; Metazoa; Mollusca; Gastropoda; Lepetellida; Haliotidae
Exons: 4
Source: RefSeq, a predicted model, not a curated record